RNAcentral lists this unclassified non-coding RNA (502 nucleotides) under Hevea brasiliensis (rubber tree). The record is from RNAcentral. Lineage: Eukaryota; Viridiplantae; Streptophyta; Magnoliopsida; Malpighiales; Euphorbiaceae.
GAAAAAGCUGAUUUUCAAAGUCACUGCGUCUUUGCUACGGCGUUUAAUUUUACCGAAAAAAUGGGGGAUUCAAACAAUCUUGAAGAAUCCUUGAAACCCUUUUACCAGAGAGCUUCAGAGGCUGAGGAACGAUUGGCAAGACUUGAAAUUUCAGUCGCUAGUAAGACAGAUCUUAAAAACGAGGAAUUGGAGAGAACAGUUGCUGGACUCCAGUCAAAGCUGAAAGAUGUCACUGCUGAGCUCGAAGCAGAACAAGAAAAGGGACACAAACAGGUCGAACAACUAACUUCAGAGAAUGCAAAGCUCAAAUAUCGUAUCAAACAUCUAGUUCGAUCGCUAGAGGAGGUUCUUAGCAAGUUGGCAUCGAAGUGAGGUAAUUUUUUCUGAAGCAGGAUGAUAGAUAGCUCUUUUUACUUCAAAUACUUAGUUGCAUGUUACCAAAGGAGUUAUUUUAACUGUUGAUUCUUACGCAUGAGUUUUAAGAAAAAGAGUUUAAAUUGUA